This 287-nucleotide ribosomal RNA is filed under the name Enterobacter hormaechei. Its description in RNAcentral is "partial 16S ribosomal RNA". It matches the Rfam family "Bacterial small subunit ribosomal RNA", at positions 1247 to 1533 of the family's 1533-position model. Lineage: Bacteria; Pseudomonadati; Pseudomonadota; Gammaproteobacteria; Enterobacterales; Enterobacteriaceae. The record is from RNAcentral.
UCGCGAGAUCGCGAGAGCAAGCGGACCUCAUAAAGUGCGUCGUAGUCCGGAUUGGAGUCUGCAACUCGACUCCAUGAAGUCGGAAUCGCUAGUAAUCGUGGAUCAGAAUGCCACGGUGAAUACGUUCCCGGGCCUUGUACACACCGCCCGUCACACCAUGGGAGUGGGUUGCAAAAGAAGUAGGUAGCUUAACCUUCGGGAGGGCGCUUACCACUUUGUGAUUCAUGACUGGGGUGAAGUCGUAACAAGGUAACCGUAGGGGAACCUGCGGUUGGAUCACCUCCUUA